RNAcentral lists this ribosomal RNA (253 nucleotides) under uncultured bacterium. RNAcentral's name for it is "partial 16S ribosomal RNA". It matches the Rfam family "Bacterial small subunit ribosomal RNA", at positions 524 to 776 of the family's 1533-position model. The record is from RNAcentral.
UACGUAGGGUGCAAGCGUGGUCCGGAAUUAUUGGGCGUAAAGAGUUCGUAGGCGGUUUGUCGCGUCUGCUGUGAAAACUCGGGGCUUAACUCCGGGCCUGCAGUGGGUACGGGCAGACUAGAGUGCGGUAGGGGAGACUGGAAUUCCUGGUGUAGCGGUGAAAUGCGCAGAUAUCAGGAGGAACACCGGUGGCGAAGGCGGGUCUCUGGGCCGUAACUGACGCUGAGGAGCGAAAGCGUGGGGAGCGAACAGG